CCACAUCUGAUGUAAGACAAUGGUAGAUUAGGCAAGGUUAUUAAUAGUCUGGCACCGUAGCAUUUUUCUUUCAGCACUAGUGUAGUGAUUCAUAUAGAUGGUAAGAGUUACAACAUUAGAGUCACGGUUUUUGGCAUUAUACAACUGUGAGGAUUCUGUGUAUUGUUAUCUACUGAGAAGAAAGUAAAGAAAUAGAGUGAUUGUUUGGGUGAUUGACUGAGUG
Molecule: long non-coding RNA, 223 nt
Filed under: Vigna radiata
Lineage: Eukaryota; Viridiplantae; Streptophyta; Magnoliopsida; Fabales; Fabaceae
Description: long non-coding RNA (VRAD_LNC006277)
Source: RNAcentral